Long non-coding RNA from Physeter macrocephalus (sperm whale), 509 nucleotides. RefSeq lists it as uncharacterized. NCBI's taxonomy places the organism in Eukaryota, Metazoa, Chordata, Mammalia, Artiodactyla, Physeteridae. The transcript is spliced from 3 exons. The record is from RefSeq and is a predicted model, not a curated record.
CGCGCAGGCUCAGCGGCCAUGGCUCACGGGCCCAGCCGCUCCGCGGCACGUGGGAUCUUCCCGGACCGGGGCACGAACCCGUGUCCCCUGCAUCGGCAGGCGGACUCUCAACCACUGCGCCACCAGGCAAGCCCGAGAUAUUCUAAUUUUUAAAGGAAUGAGGACAUUGGAAGGAUUAUUCUAAAAUCUCUAUUGAACUAAAUGCUACUCAUCUUGAUCUCCAGGCAGCUCUCACUGAUGUUGAAAAGAAAGACAUUUGCAGAUCUGGAGCUAUGGCUUAUCUUCAAGAUAAAAAGAUGUAAAAAUGAAGAAUUAAACAGUUAACAAAUGACUAGCUCUCUACCCCCAACAGCCCCCUUAAGCAAUCCUGCAGGUAGAUCACGCAGGCAAGAUCACAUCUGAAGAAAGAGUCAGCCAGUCUACCUAAUGGAGAAUGAGGCAGAGCCCAACCUCCUGCCUCAAUGAUUCACUGAGAUUCUUCCCCUUUUUCCCCUUUAAAAACUGAGCAG